UUUUUAGUAUAGGCAUAUCCCAUGCGAUAUUUGGGACAUACUUAUGCUAAGA
This 52-nucleotide microRNA precursor is filed under the name Ailuropoda melanoleuca (giant panda). RNAcentral's name for it is "mir-1302". Lineage: Eukaryota; Metazoa; Chordata; Mammalia; Carnivora; Ursidae. The record is from RNAcentral.